AGCGUCCUCUAUUGAAAUUUCAGCAACUGCGUUUGACUUGAAUCCUGAUCCCUCGCUCUACUUGUUAUUGAAAUAAAGGGACCUCAGACGUUACCUAGAGAGGCGCUGCGGAACGGGUCGUAGGAACGUCGGGUCCCCCCCCCCCCAGCAAUCUGAGCCCAGCAGUUUUACCUUGCUCGACUGUGUGCGGAGCUACGGAGGAGGAAAAGCUGACACGGUGGCUACACCGAGGUGCUGAUAGUGAAAUCCCAUUAGCUGCCCUCCCACUGACGCCCAACUGACAUCAAUGGGACGAGCCAAAGCAGUUUCAGCCAAGACGGAGGUGGAAGAGGGAACGAAAAGAGCCGUCAAAGAACGAGCCGCGGGAAAGCGAGCGAACCAUUAAAAGAAGAGGAGGAGAAGGGGAAUGCCAGCUCCUACGUGGCCACCAAUUUAGAAUGGUUUCUGGUCAGGGGAAGUGGCAGGAGUGGAUGCCCAAAUUAGAGAGGGUCUGGUCGGAUCUCAUGGAACCCUGUCAUCCUCAGCGAGCAGCAUUCCGGCGAGCGAGGAGC
Long non-coding RNA from Gasterosteus aculeatus aculeatus (three-spined stickleback), 551 nucleotides. The record is from Ensembl. Lineage: Eukaryota; Metazoa; Chordata; Actinopteri; Perciformes; Gasterosteidae.